GGUCCUGUAGGAUAACGGUUAGUCCGAAGGUUUCUGAUUUGUGACAACAAGUCUUGCAUUCCUUAAGCCGCGGUUCGACUCCGCGCAGGACCU
Molecule: transfer RNA, 93 nt
Filed under: Malassezia japonica
Lineage: Eukaryota; Fungi; Basidiomycota; Malasseziomycetes; Malasseziales; Malasseziaceae
Description: tRNA-Gln
Rfam family: tRNA
About the family: Transfer RNA (tRNA) molecules are approximately 80 nucleotides in length. Their secondary structure includes four short double-helical elements and three loops (D, anti-codon, and T loops).
Source: RNAcentral